GGUUGGAUGGCCGAGCGGUCUCAGGACCAGCUUCUUCGCUGGAGCGUAACUUGCGGACUUCAUUGUCAGUAAUCUGGUCCGAAAGGGCAUGGGUUCGAAUCCCAUUCCAAUCA
Molecule: non-coding RNA, 113 nt
Organism: Mycena alexandri
Lineage: Eukaryota; Fungi; Basidiomycota; Agaricomycetes; Agaricales; Mycenaceae
Source: the annotation of a GenBank genome assembly